Xenopus laevis (African clawed frog) is the source of this 1761-nucleotide long non-coding RNA. RefSeq annotates it as potential lncRNA [provisional] L homeolog. Lineage: Eukaryota; Metazoa; Chordata; Amphibia; Anura; Pipidae. The transcript is spliced from 3 exons. The record is from RefSeq and is a predicted model, not a curated record.
UGGGCUGCUAAAGUGGUGACCAAUGGAAAUGUUUUGCUAGAGGACACAAGGAGGGGCAUUUUCAUGCACAUAAACACAUGAAACCAGCUUUGCUAACAGUUUAUUUGUCCAUCUACCAGUUACUUUUCUGAAGCAGUUUUAUCCAAAGAAGUCGGCUGCGCCAUGUCUUUUUUAAAGAAAGGACUUGGAGAUAUUAAACCCGAUGGGAUUGUAAAACAAGGAAAGGAAGCUGUGGAGGAUACUGUAAACCAGUGCAUUCAAGAAGGGCAAAAAUGUGUUCAAGAAGUGGUUGACAAAGGCACAGAAGCUGCUAAAGAUGCUGCAAACAAGGCAGUAACUGAUAUUAAAAUUGGCUUCAAGCAGAAGUGAAAGUCAUUUUACUCUUCUCUUACUGAAUUGAUCGGAUCUGGUUUAAGCAGUAUAUAGUCUUUGCAUAAUAUAUAUUUCCUAUAGAUAAAUGAUUAUAUCAUUCUCUAACUAAUAUGAUCUGUUCUUUCCAUACCCGUGAUAUCAUAAUUUGUUAUAAAUAUAUCUGAUGUUAUGUAAGCUAGGUAAGGAUGCAGAACUAGACAGUUCUAAAGAUGAAUGUUGGACAAGUUUAUGGUAUUUAUAAGUAGAAAUUAGGUCUAGUAAAUAAUCACUGGAUUACUAACUUGUUAACUUUACUUAUUCUAGGAAAUUUUACUUGUUCAAAGACAAGUUCUUGCUACCCUAGUAAACUGUAGAGCUGGUGUAGAGUAAGAUGACAGGUUGGCCCAAGGGAAGUGGGAAGCAAAGCAUAUGGUAAGAAUUAAAGUGGAUCCAAGGUUAGAUGUAAUACAUAAAACUGAGGCAAAGGUACAAUAUUUAAAAGACAACCCUACAUUCUCCUACCAUGUAUAUAUUGGGCACAUCACCCCCCACCCAAAGCGCAUCAUUUGUACUGCAUAUAUCCCCUUCGCCAGCGCCAUUACAUUUUCCAAAAGCAAAUAGCAGAUUACACCCACAGCAGCCAUUUUCCCUUUGACACAUCAUCGGUAAUAUAUACAUCUGCAAACAGUUCAUGCAAUCAAGAAUGCAAGCUUACACAGACUGAACUCACUUUAAUAAAAAUUCUUAUUUGAUUUGUAAUGAUUAAGCUGAGCUAAGACCAUCAGGAGAAAAAAUAGGAGCAGACAGCUACAGCAGAAUUUCUAUGGGAACCAGCAAUGCCAUCUUUUCAAUGGCUGCUAGACUGGAGGGCAUAUUUAGUGAAGAACUGAGCAUGUGCCAUAGCCAACAGCCAUAGUAAAUUCUCAAGGGAGGGACCGAGAGGGUUAAAGGAGGCAAAGGAAUCUUAAUUGAUUAAGUAGAUGCUGCAGUCUUACUAAUGUCUUACUAUCAAGCACUACAUGCUAGAUUUAAUGCAAGACCAAACCUGGUCAUAUAAAAAGUAGAUUUUGCAUCACAUCACAGCUUCUUGGAAACUGAAUUAACAUACUUUUGUAUAUAUUUAUAUACAUAUUAAAACAUGCGUUUUCACAGCAAAAUGUACUGUAACAUUAAUGUUCUCGGUGCAUCAGUAUGUACACUGACAAUAUACCAGAUGGCAGGGUUCUAACUUGCAUUGCGGAUCAAACAAUGAAAUAAUUCUUUACUGGGUUGAAGUGUUUUUCAUUUUGAAAUGUGCAGAAACUAGUAAAAAAUAGAAUGUACAUUCAAAACUUUUACAAGAAUGUCAAGGUAAUUAUUCUGACAACUAUGCAUGGCUGGUUUAAAAUUUAUUAAAACAGUUGGAAUGUU